This is an RNA transcript of Balaenoptera ricei (Rice's whale), 4579 nucleotides long. It is a transcript of the gene named protein tyrosine phosphatase non-receptor type 1, with no coding region annotated. The transcript has 10 exons. NCBI's taxonomy places the organism in Eukaryota, Metazoa, Chordata, Mammalia, Artiodactyla, Balaenopteridae. The record is from RefSeq and is a predicted model, not a curated record.
UUGACAUGAAGAAGCAGCGGCGGCUAGGGCGGCGGUAGCGGCGAGAGUCGCGGCUUGCAGCGGGACUAAGUGCGGAGAGCGCGACGCGGCCUAGAGCGGCAGACGGCGCAGUGGGCCGAGGAGGAGGCGCAGCAGCCCCCCUGGCCCGCCAUGGAGAUGGAAAAGGAGUUCGAGCAGAUCGACAAGGCUGGGAGCUGGGCGGCCAUUUACCAGGAUAUCCGACACGAAGCCAGUGACUUCCCAUGUAGAGUGGCCAAGCUUCCUAAGAACAAAAACCGAAACAGGUACAGAGAUGUCAGUCCCUUUGACCAUAGUCGGAUUAAACUUCAUCAAGAAGAUAACGACUAUAUCAAUGCUAGUUUGAUAAAAAUGGAAGAAGCCCAAAGGAGUUACAUUCUCACGCAGGGCCCUUUGCCCAAUACCUGCGGUCACUUUUGGGAGAUGGUGUGGGAGCAGAAAAGCAGGGGCGUUGUCAUGCUCAACAGAGUGAUGGAGAAAGGCUCGUUAAAAUGUGCACAGUACUGGCCACAAAAAGAAGAAGAAGAAAUGAUCUUUGAAGACACAAAUUUGAAAUUGACAUUGAUCUCUGAAGAUAUUAAGUCAUAUUACACAGUACGACAACUAGAAUUGGAAAACCUCACAUCUCAAGAAACUCGAGAGAUCUUACAUUUCCACUAUACCACGUGGCCUGACUUCGGAGUCCCUGAAUCGCCAGCCUCGUUUCUGAACUUUCUUUUCAAAGUCCGCGAGUCGGGGUCGCUCAGCACGGAGUAUGGCCCCAUUGUGGUGCACUGCAGCGCUGGCAUCGGCAGGUCGGGGACCUUCUGUCUGGCUGACACCUGCCUCUUGCUGAUGGACAAAAGGAAAGACCCUUCUUCUGUUGAUAUCAAGAAAGUUCUGUUAGAAAUGCGGAAAUUUCGGAUGGGACUGAUCCAGACAGCAGACCAGCUCCGUUUCUCCUACCUGGCUGUGAUCGAAGGCGCCAAGUUCAUCAUGGGAGACUCUUCAGUACAGGAACAAUGGAAAGAGCUCUCCCACGAGGACCUGGAGCCUCCACCCGAGCACAUCCCCCCACCUCCCCGGCCUCCCAAACGAAUCCUGGAGCCGCACAAUGGGAAGUGCAAGGAGUUCUUCCCAAACCACCAGUGGGUGAAGGAUGAGACUGAGGAGGUUAAAGAAGAUGGCCCCGUCAAGGAAGAAACCAGAACCCUCUUGAACGUCCCCUGCAGCCUGGAAAGCGCGAGUCAAGACACUGAAGUCAGAAGGCGGGUCGUGGGGGCAGGUCCUGCCCAGGGGGAGCCGUUGCCGUCCAAGGAGGAGCAGGACCAGGCGCCGACUCACUGGAAGCCCUUCCUGGUCAACGUGUGCGUGGCCACGGUCCUCACGGCCGGCGCGUACCUCUGCUACAGGGUAUGUUUUCACUGACGGACGUGCUGGCCAGACCGCGUGUACAGCAAGCCCUGGCCGCCAGCCCGGCGGUAGCGCUCAGUGCUGCGGGAGCCUCUGAGCCAGCCUCAGAAGAAACAGAUCAAAGGUUUGCAAAGUCUGGGACUGUGAAGGGCUAACGAGAGAGAAUUGAGGAUUGAUGCACCGGGGUCUUAAGGAGCCCUGUGGUCCCAAGAAUAGAAGAGUCUAAUCUCAGGGCCUUAACCUAUUCAGGAGUGGUGUAACCAGAUACACAAUUUUUAUUUGAUUUCCCAGGGAAAGACUCCCACACUUUUGCGAAUGUAAAGUCCUUUGGAGGAGAGGGUUUGAGGGUUUCGGACAUCGUCUUGCUCAGGCGCUUCCUCUGCUGAGCGCUCACUGAGCUGGGACAGUGCCUGCGAGCUUUCCCGUUUUAAGAAGAAAAACAACAAAAGGCCGUCUCUAGAAAACAGAACCCGGCUUCUGCUUUUGCUCAGGGUGUCCCGCUGGUCUCCCGCUGUCCACUCCUCCACCGGCCCCCUCUCGUUACAGCCGUCUUGCGCACGUCCUGCCCCCAUUGCUCCAUCCCCACAAACAGGGUUCCUCAGGGCCCCUGCCUCAGGGUCAGAGGUCACCACAGGGUGGCCACCGGCUUUUCACCCAGCCAUUGAGAUCCAGAAGGAGCAGUUUCCACUUUGCUUGGAAUAUAAAUGCCAUUUCAGUAGAAAUCCACACGUUAGAAUGUGUCGCCGUUAAAGUUAAGGAGAAGAGCAAGGAUUAGCUUCAAAACUCUGGUCGUGGAAAUCACCUCACAAGACUUCUUUUUUUUUUUUUUUAAUGAUUUAAAAUAUUUUACCUCUUUCUAAGCAACCACCUUUGAGUGCAUCCGAUGGUUUAGCAACGUGCAGACAGCUUUUUCCUCGGGGGUGAUCUUGGGAAGGGGGAGCUGUUGUAAAAGAUAAUAAUAGUAAUAAUAAUAACCAAAACCCCCUUCACGGGGGGCUGGAGUGGCCAGGGUGGCCGAGGUGGUGCAGGAGCCUGCAGCUCUGCAGGGGCGGGGCCGGGCCCGUCUGAAAACGUUUGGUUUCAUUCCGGUUCCUGCUUGACAGCCACACAUAAUCUGACCCACCUCCACCCACGGUCCGCCUCUGCUCGUAGAGCCCGCAGCUGCCUAGCAGGCAGCCGCUAGGCGAGGGCCGUCGGACAGCGUAGCCCGCCGCGCCCCGACGGACGCUGGUUCUGCACUAAAGCCCCCCUCUCCAGGCGGUUGGCCUCAUCUCCAUCCUUCUACUUUUCUCCCCCCCGCCUUCCUCUGAAUACCAGAUCUACAACCCAUUUUUUGAGGAGGGCACAGAGGGCGCUGUGCUGGUGGCGCAGAGCAAGGCGGCCUGUGCGGGUGGAGGGGCGAGCCUCGCGUGGUGCCCCCUCGGCACGUCCCUGGCAGGCGGCAAGCGACAUCCUUCCCGCGGCCCUCCCUGGAGACGGCGUGUAGUGAGCCUCUCCACUCCAUGUUUAUUUUUUAAUUCUUUUCUCCUGAAGGCAUCCACAGUGCACUAGCAUCUUCAUAAACCAAUAAUGUAUUAAAGUUUUUUGAUGUCAGCCUUGCAUCAAGGGCUUUAUCAAAAAGUACAAUAAUAAACCCUCAGGUAGCACUGGGAACGGAGGACUUUGCCGUGAGCCUGCUGCGUCAGACCAGUACUAGGAAGGAGGACGGUUGUAAGCAGUCGUGAUUUCAUUGGGUAACACGAGAAGAGGUUUACCUAUGUUUAUAGGACAAAGGGAUAAUAUAUAAUGAACACUUGGCUAUUUAAGACACAUGGCAUGAGAUUACUUUGUCCCGGUUCCUCCCCUCCCCAGUUGUCUGCUCGAACCUCGAUCUCAGUCACCGCUCUUCCUGUGUGUAUUAGGAUGCAUGUACGGUCUUCUUGUGUCCCGAUCAAAUACCACGUGCUUGAAAUCCUUAGAUCUCUGCUUACUGAUGCGCUCCGUGUACAAGUCCAGUCUACCUUUGCAUGAGCUGAGCAUUACGUGGCUCUGGUUCCUAAGACCGUUGCUGAAAUAAUCGCCAUUCGGCAGCGGAGUGAUGUUGUCCAGUAACAGAUAUUUGCCUAAUUCCUGGCAUGACACUCUGGUGACUUCCUAGUGAGGCCCAGCCUGUCCUGGUCCAGCUGGGCCCCACUGUAACUCAGACAUUCCAGGGGUAUGGGAAGCCAUAGUCACACCUCACGCUCUGGACAUUUAGACAAGCAGGGCCCCCCACGACACACACACCUUUGGGAUCAGCCUCCACUGUGCCAAGUUCACACUCUUCUUGAGCGGACCGUGAUCUGGAACCAAGGUGACUGUUGGAAACCACACUUCUUGAAACAGCCUGGACGACGGUCCCUUCGAGUCAGCCUGCGGCCCUUUAGGUCCGGGGGCCUUGCUGAGAGAGGCGUCUGCCCCUGCCCUUGAACCCUGGGCACUGAUGGUGCUCACGACUCUUCCUGCGAGGGGAACUUAAGACCUCCGCAUUAAGUGGCUUUUUUAACAAGAAAAAAAAAAAAAGGCAGCUAUAGCUCACGAGCUGCUCUUUUGCCAGCAUUUUCACAUUUUGCCUUUCACGUGUUAGAAGCUCGUGCAGAGAAAUUCUGUGGUGGGAACAUUUGAGGCAUCGCCCCGCAGAGCCUUGGUGAGGUGUGGAUAAGACUGAGGUGCCAGGCUGUAAGCAUUUUUGAGUUGGGCUUGUUUGUCUGUUAUUUUAAGUCCUGUAUAUGUAUGUAGUAGUUUGGUGUGUAUAUAUAGUAGCAUUUCAAAAUGGAUAUACUGGUUUAACCUCCUAUCCUUGGAAAACAGAUGGUUCUCCAUCUUGUCACACGUAUGUUAGAGAAGUAGCGAGCUGCUCUGCUAUAUGCCUUAAGCCAAUAUUUACUCAUCAGGUCAUUAUUUUUUACGAUGGCCAUAGAAUUAAACCAUUUUUACAAAAAUAAAAACAAACAAAAAAAGCGAGGUGUUUUGGUAUGAUACCUUUUCAGGUGUGUGUAUACGUGGAUGCAUGAUGGGGGGGCGGGGGGCGCGUCUCAGGGUCUUCUGUGACCUCACAGAACUGUCAAACUGUACAGUUUUCCAACUUGCCAUAUAAAUGAUGGGUUUGCAUUUUAGUUGCAACAAUAAAAAUUUUUUUCUAAAGAACAUG